UGUCAUACUGGAGAAUUUACAGGCUCGGAGCAAGGCUUUUGGGUGUAAAACUGUAAAACCUUUCUGCAACUGCGCAGUUUAAAAUUAGAAUCUGCCUUUUUUUUUUUUUUUUUUUUUUUUUAAGGAAAAGUCAUCAUAAAAGAAAGUCUGUGCCACUAUUUCGGGUCUGCUGAACUAGAAACUCCGUAGGUCGGAUAUCUGCAGAUGUUUAAAUGGGCAGAUGGUGACAGGACAAAGGUACAUACGCAUAUGGACUCACUCUCUGAAACAACCAUUGGAGAUAUCUGAGGGAGAACAAAGAGAGGAAUCUGGAUGUGGGCUGCCUACCUUAAGGGAAAAACGACCUGUCAUCCUCAGAACACUGAACAGGCACCCAGAAGCACAGUCUCCACAUUGCAGCUGAGCCUGGUUUUUUUCAGAGGAGCCCGAAGAUACCUAGAAAGAUAAAAGGCCAUCAGCAGAACACUGGUGGCCACCUACGAACAUCUACCGUCACAGGAACAUGUACUACCCUCACAGGCUACCUCUGCUCCGGAAAGGACUGAUAAGAAAAUUGAACAAUCGAGAUCUAAUUAAUAUCAGAGGCAAAGAGAUUCGGAUCCAAUGGAAAACUGAACACUAGAGGUUGCUCAACUCUAGACCAAUGUAGUUUGAGGCAGUGCAUCUCUAUGGGGUUUAACUGUAUAAAGUUUGGGGGAAAUCCUGCAAAAACAUGUCAUGGAAUUAUUCUUUCUGCACAGCCAGGCUAUGUGUGGAUGAGAUUAUUUCUGUGGUACAUCCUGGCCAGAUCAACAUCCUGGCCAGAAAAAAUCCCCUCCUUCUCCUUCCUUUCACAUAUUUUGCUCUCUUGAGUACCAGUCCUUAUCAUCUCUCUGGCAUCAAAUGGGACAAAAUUCCCUGAGAGAAAGAAAAAAAAGGAAAAAAUCCCAAUCUCCAGCAAUUUAAGAUACUAAAUAAAGUAUACUUAACACUUCAAAAGGGGUUCUAAUAUAUUUGUCUUUUUUUGCCCAUCAUUGCGAAGAAUCUUACAACAAACUAAAUAAUAUCCUCUCCACUUCUUAUAACUAAGUACUGUUUCCUGCAGAAAAGACAUUAAGUCUGCAUCAUUCCUGCCUUCUAUAAUUUGACUGCUUAGAUCACCUCCAACUCACUUCAAUCAACAGCAGAAUGAUUGACUGUUUCCUAGAUAAUUUUUCAAAGA
Long non-coding RNA from Passer domesticus (house sparrow), 1201 nucleotides. RefSeq lists it as uncharacterized. The transcript is spliced from 4 exons. The record is from RefSeq and is a predicted model, not a curated record. NCBI's taxonomy places the organism in Eukaryota, Metazoa, Chordata, Aves, Passeriformes, Passeridae.